RNAcentral lists this ribosomal RNA (301 nucleotides) under uncultured bacterium. RNAcentral's name for it is "partial 16S ribosomal RNA". It matches the Rfam family "Bacterial small subunit ribosomal RNA", at positions 509 to 809 of the family's 1533-position model. The record is from RNAcentral.
CAGUCGCCACGGUAACACCGAGGAUGCAAGCGUUAUCCGGAAUGAUUGGGCGUAAAGCGUCUGUAGGUGGCUUUUCAAGUCCGCCGUCAAAUCCCCGGGCUCAACCCUGGACAGGCAGUGGAAACUACCAAGCUGGAAUACGGUAGGGGCAGAGGGAAUUUCCGGUGGAGCGGUGAAAUGCGUUGAGAUCGGAAGGAACACCAACGGCGAAAGCACUCUGCUGGGCCGACACUGACACUGAGAGACGAAAGCUAGGGGAGCAAAUGGGAUUAGAUACCCCCGUAGUCCCUGUCUCUUAUAU